RNAcentral lists this ribosomal RNA (465 nucleotides) under Vreelandella stevensii. Its description in RNAcentral is "partial 16S ribosomal RNA". It matches the Rfam family "Bacterial small subunit ribosomal RNA", at positions 338 to 795 of the family's 1533-position model. The record is from RNAcentral. Lineage: Bacteria; Pseudomonadati; Pseudomonadota; Gammaproteobacteria; Oceanospirillales; Halomonadaceae.
CCUACGGGGGGCUGCAGUGGGGAAUAUUGGACAAUGGGGGGAACCCUGAUCCAGCCAUGCCACGUGUGUGAAGAAGGCCCUCGGGUUGUAAAGCACUUUCAGUGAGGAAGAACGCCUGGUGGUUAAUACCCAUCAGGAAAGACAUCACUCACAGAAGAAGCACCGGCUAACUCCGUGCCAGCAGCCGCGGUAAUACGGAGGGUGCGAGCGUUAAUCGGAAUUACUGGGCGUAAAGCGCGCGUAGGUGGCUUGAUAAGCCGGUUGUGAAAGCCCCGGGCUCAACCUGGGAACGGCAUCCGGAACUGUCAAGCUAGAGUGCAGGAGAGGAAGGUAGAAUUCCCGGUGUAGCGGUGAAAUGCGUAGAGAUCGGGAGGAAUACCAGUGGCGAAGGCGGCCUUCUGGACUGACACUGACACUGAGGUGCGAAAGCGUGGGUAGCAAACAGGAUUAGAUACCCGUGUAGUC